Transfer RNA from Cavia porcellus (domestic guinea pig), 64 nucleotides. It matches the Rfam family "tRNA". Rfam says of the family: Transfer RNA (tRNA) molecules are approximately 80 nucleotides in length. Their secondary structure includes four short double-helical elements and three loops (D, anti-codon, and T loops). The record is from Rfam. NCBI's taxonomy places the organism in Eukaryota, Metazoa, Chordata, Mammalia, Rodentia, Caviidae.
GGGGAUUUAGCUCAGCGGCAUAAGCGCCUGCCUUGCAAGCAGGCAGUCGUGAGUUCAAUCCCCG